UAGUUGGUGGGGUAAAGGCCUACCAAGGCGACGAUCUGUAGCGGGUCUGAGAGGAUGAUCCGCCACACUGGAACCGAGACACGGUCCAGACUCCUACGGGAGGCAGCAGUGGGGAAUUUUGGACAAUGGGGGCAACCCUGAUCCAGCCAUGCCGCGUGAGUGAAGAAGGCCUUCGGGUUGUAAAGCUCUUUCGUCCGGGAAGAAAUCGCACAGGCUAAUACUCUGUGUGGAUGACGGUACCGGAAUAAGAAGCACSGGCUAACUACGUGCCAGCAGCCGCGGUAAUACGUAGGGUGCGAGCGUUAAUCGGAAUUACUGGGCGUAAAGCGUGCGCAGGCGGUUUUGUAAGACAGGCGUGAAAUCCCCGGGCUCAACCUGGGAACUGCGCUUGUGACUGCAAGGCUAGAGUACGGCAGAGGGGGGUGGAAUUCCACGUGUAGCAGUGAAAUGCGUAGAGAUGUGGAGGAACACCGAUGGCGAAGGCAGCCCCCUGGGCCGAUACUGACGCUCAUGCACGAAAGCGUGGGUAGCAAACAGGAUUAGAUACCCUGGUAGUCCACGCCCUAAACGAUGUCAACUAGGUGUUGGGUGGGUAAAACCAUUUAGUACCGUAGCUAACGCGUGAAGUUGACCGCCUGGGGAGUACGGCCGCAAGGUUAAAACUCAAAGGAAUUGACGGGGACCCGCACAAGCGGUGGAUGAUGUGGAUUAAUUCGAUGCAACGCGAAAAACCUUACCUACCCUUGACAUGUCCGGAAUCCCUGAGAGAUUGGGGAGUGCCCGAAAGGGAAUCGGAACACAGGUGCUGCAUGGCUGUCGUCAGCUCGUGUCGUGAGAUGUUGGGUUAAGUCCCGCAACGAGCGCAACCCUUGUCGUUAAUUGCCAUCAUUUAGUUGGGCACUUUAGCGAGACUGCCGG
This 918-nucleotide ribosomal RNA is filed under the name uncultured bacterium. Its description in RNAcentral is "bacterial SSU rRNA". It matches the Rfam family "Bacterial small subunit ribosomal RNA", at positions 246 to 1155 of the family's 1533-position model. The record is from RNAcentral.